Pistacia vera is the source of this 72-nucleotide non-coding RNA. The record is from the annotation of a RefSeq genome assembly. Lineage: Eukaryota; Viridiplantae; Streptophyta; Magnoliopsida; Sapindales; Anacardiaceae.
UCCUCAAUAGCUUAAUGGUAGAGCAGUCAGUUGUGAACUGCCUGGUCGUAGGUUUGAAUCCUACUUGGGGAG